GAGGAUAUAGCUUAGUGGUAGAGCACAUGCUUAGCAUGCAUAAGAUCCUGGGUUCAAUCCCCAAUAACUCCA
This 72-nucleotide transfer RNA is filed under the name Camelus bactrianus (Bactrian camel). It matches the Rfam family "tRNA". From Rfam's summary of the family: Transfer RNA (tRNA) molecules are approximately 80 nucleotides in length. Their secondary structure includes four short double-helical elements and three loops (D, anti-codon, and T loops). The record is from Rfam by way of RNAcentral. RNAcentral also lists the same sequence under 2 other names. Lineage: Eukaryota; Metazoa; Chordata; Mammalia; Artiodactyla; Camelidae.